RNAcentral lists this long non-coding RNA (5155 nucleotides) under Homo sapiens (human). RNAcentral's name for it is "HSALNT0339807". The record is from RNAcentral. Lineage: Eukaryota; Metazoa; Chordata; Mammalia; Primates; Hominidae.
AAAAACACAACCACAAGUUAUGCCCGUGCUGUGCCUCUAGCAGCAAAGACAAGCGGUGUGGGGUUGGAUGAAUCUACACUUCUCGUCGGGGGAGAAAGGGUAUUUUCCUCUUUAGCAUAAGCCAUUUACAUAGUGUCUUUAGACCAGAGUUUAAAUUCAGCAGGAAAUUGUAGCUUAAUGGUUUUUUUUCUCUUUUCCUCUAUAUCUUUUGAAAAGAAGUCUUUGGAAUUUUGGAGAAAGAGAAAGGGUCAUUAACUACCAGAGUUUGCGCAGCUAAAAUAAAUUAGUGUCCAAUGCACUGCUCAUGAUCUAGAAAAGUUUGCAGUAGGAGUGAAGCGCAAUUGUGUCUGCUAAAAAGGGACAAUGGUGACUCGUUUGUAAGAUGCAUAUGGCAAAGAAUAGAACCAAAGUCCUUUGUAUAUAUAGCAAAUGUUAAAGAAAUUGUUGCUUAUUUACAUCCUUCUGAAAUUUUUGAACUCCACUCUAUUAAAAUUAUUAAUUUCUUAUGACCUUUAUUUGCAAAGAAAAUUCUAUGCUUUGAAUGUCAAAUUGCAGUAACUAAUUUCAGACAGUAUUUUGUAUUUGAAAAUGUGUUUAUAUAUAAUAAACUAAGAAAAGGUCUAUAUUCCAAACAAAAACACAAAAUUGUACUGAAAUUGUUUCCUUCAUUGAAAAGAUGUUGCCUUGUAUUCACAGGAUACCAGCUAAGUAAUUUAAAUAUUAAGAGGAAGACUAUUUAGAAACAGAAUAAGCUUUGUUAUUUUCGUUUAAAAUGUUAAGGGGCCUCUAAUGAAAAGGGGUUGUCUUUUAUAGCUCAAAUACUGAAAACCUUAUUGGUAUCACAGUAGCUCAAUAAUAAUGAAUCCUUAAGGCAUCCAACAAAUACAAACCAAAUUCAAAACAACGUCCAGUUUACUGUUGGAUAUAACGGUUAUUGUGGCCAGGCUAAAUGAAGUUGUUUAACUUCUUAAUUGUCAUAAAAGAAACUUUGUUCUUUUACUUUAUACUGCAUAUCACUUGUUUGUAUUUAAUUAUUCAAUAAAAUGUGGACUAGGUUUGAAAAACUGGCAAGAUACUUCAUAUCUUAAGGAAUAGUAUCUGCUUAAAAAUAAAUACUUGUUUGUCCCUAGUAAUUUUUAAAACUUGAAAUUUUAACUAGAAUUAAGUAACUUUCUUCUAAGUGAGACUUUAUAAGAAGCCGAAGUAACAGGUUGUUGACGUUCAGUGCUGUUGACACCUUUGGGUUAUAUAUAAAUCUAGUUCUACAACAAAACACGUAAGUUGGCUUUAUAGGUGAAUAGUUUACCCUUUAAGAAUCAGCCAGGGAAAAUGCAGUUUUGCUGUAUUGUAAUCAUAAAGAAUCCAGGAUUAGAAUUCUUUACAUUUAAGUCACAUUAAAAAUAGUGUUAAAUAAACAUCUAUUCAAGUUAGCUACAUCAGUAAUUAUUUUCUUUUUCCUAAAGAAAGCUUUAUAAAAAAUAUGCCAGAGAAAAAUAAGAGACAAAGCAAGAAAACCACUGGGAACUGAAGUUCAUCUAAAUAUCUCAGCUGCAAGAAAUCAGUUUUAAGAAGCCAGUGUGUGGACAUUGAAACAACUAAACCAAGGCUAAAAGCCUCAAAUAUGUACAACUAUAGCUAAUAUUAAACCAUGUUUUACCAAAUUUCCUCAUAAAAAAUAAAAAACACUGAGUUUGGGUCUAAGGCAGAAUAUAUUCUCUUGUAUAAAAUAAGUGAUCCGGCAAAGUUGAUUUUUUUUCACGUUUAAUGUAAAAAUGAUCUCGUGACAUUUACAUACUAAGUAUUAGGCAUUACAUAAUAUUAAUUUUGAUGGCUAUGUUACAUCAUCUAAAAAUAAUAUGACAAUUGGUGGCAUAGUAUGUGUUUUUCAAAACUGCUGUAAAACAGAAAUAGUGUGAACUCAAAUACAUAUUGCUGAAGGGAUGAGGAUCGCUCUUAAAUGCCUGGAUGGCAUGAACUUUACAUAUUAGCAUGGUAAGAAAUUACUAAAUCUUUUCUUUUCCUGUAUUAAAAUAAUGAGGAUCUAAGACACAUUAAAUCAAAAUAUUUACAAAAAUUUAAUAAUGUUUUAGACCAAAGAAAAAAAGGACAAAUUAAAGAAAUCAUUCUUAUUCUAAAUUUAAUUUUUUUAAUGUUAGUUCUCAGUUUUCUUAGCUUUUUUUUCUGUUGGUUCUUUGAAACAAGCAUUGUAAAGACUUUUUAAUAAUACAAUAGCUUUUAAACUCUUAGUGAAAAUGAAAAGGUUGCUUUUUGUAGUAGCCUCUGCCACUCUUCAAUUAGGCUGGGUAACAAAGCAACAAGUUAUCCUAGUUAUCUGAAAAUAUCUUCCUGUUAGUUUCACAGAAAUAUUUUGUACCAUUCAACAUGGAUGAAACUUGGGUAAUUAUCUCAAGAAAAUGUUGCCUCAUCUGAAAUCUGAACUUCAAAAUAGUUUAUCUAAGAUAUCUUUGGGACACUAAAAAAAAAGACAUUUUAUGAAAAUUAUACCAAUCUUCAAGUAGAUGCUUUAAAAGGGGCUUUUUAAAAAUGAAUAAUUAUUUCUGAAAUUAGCAAGUCGACAUCCUUUUCUAAAUUAUGGGAAUAUUUAUUGGUAAAAUUAAAUUUAUUAAUCUUUAUAAAAUCCUUCCUCUGAUUUAAGUAAUAAGUAACCACCACUGAUACUGAAAGUUAUCUAGUGAUAAGAAAUUGCACAUUUAGUCAAAAAAUAAAUCAUUAACCUGAUUAUACAAUGAUAAUGAAAACAAAUUAUUUGUCUCCAGAAACCAUUUGUUGAAGCUGAUUUUGGAUAAUGAAAAUGUAUUUCUGAAUCUAUAUAUUACAGUUAUAAGUAAUAUUACUAGCACUAUCUAUGUUUUUUCUAAGAUGUAAACAUUAUUUUAAUAUGUCUCUAUUCAUAAGAUACAUUUCCAUCUAAGCGUGAAACAGAAUACUGGAAAGGUUAAAUACUCUUAAAAUAUUUCAGUCUAACACCCAAAAGCAUAGUGUUUUGCCAGUGCAGGGGAGGUAUCCACAAAAUAUCAGGCACAUAUCUGAGAGAGGCAGUCUGGUCUACACUGUUACUCUUCAUAGGGUUUAACAACAUAUACACCGUGUUUAUGGUAACACUGCCCCACUGAUACAAGAAGGAAUGCUCUAUCUUGAUUUUAAAUGCUACUUAGUUACCUAUCUUUUUAAAUUCAAUAAAACCAACUCGGUUUUUUAAAACAUGUAAGUCAUUUCAUUGGAGGGCAAGAUCUUGUUUACCAAUAAUGUCUGCCUGUAAAGGAUAGUAUUGUAUUCACAGGAUUUUUAGCUUUACACAGAAGCUUACCUAAAAUAAGACAACAUAAAAAUACCACUAAUAAACAACCCAACAUCUUUAAGAAUUUAAAUACCUAACAUCAUGACAGUGAGCUUUAGGUAAGAAUGUAUUAUUAUGAAGCUUUCUUCUCUAUGACUGGACAUAAUUUGCUAUUCCUAAGAUAGUAACAUUAGAAUUAUUUUUCAGGAUUCCUGCGGAGCUGUAUUUACUUUACAUCCAUGUGAACUGCUGUCAUCACUACUGUGUCCAAGCCCAGAGGAUGAACUGGAAAAGAAGAGAGGGGGAAAAUAAUAAAAAGAGGAAAUUGGUUUUCACAACACACUCAAAGCCUGAGUAACAGAGGAGAACUUUAAUUAUCUCCAGUCACAAAGAGAGACAGGAAAUUUGGACUUUUAAUUAGCCAUUUGGAGUGCAGUUGGGUAUUUUUUUAGCUAGAUAAUUUAAACGCGAAUAAUUCAAGUCUGACUAAAUGAAAGUCACAUAAUCAGAAUGCAAAUAAUUGAAUUUCUACUGCAUUCAUUAAUUCAGUGUGGAGGUGUGUGUGAAGACUACUAUGAUGAGCUGUCACAGCUCAAUAAAAUCUCAGUCAAUUAAUUUUUUCAUUAUCUUAGUAUUAUAUCAACAAAAAAGUGAAGUGUGUAUAUAUAUCUAUACACGUGCAUAUGUGCAUACUAUGUAUUAUAUAAAUACAUAUACAUUAAAUCAAAAUGCAAGGAAAUACCUUUCUGAAUCAUAAUCUAUAUCAUUUUCUUUUUUUCCUUCUUCAUCUUCUUCAGGGAAACGUCUAUUCAUUAAGGCAAACUUGUGAAUUGCUUCUUCCACAGAGUACUUAGUCUGCCCAGAAACACACGCCUCAAUGUCUUCUGAAUUCAGAUGGCUCUGUAAGAAGAGGUGAAGGCUGCUAUCUGAAAGCAAAAGUGCAUUCUGUAGGACUCUAUAUUAAAAAAAAAAGGAAAAAUAAUUGGUGAACAGGAUGGUCAGUGAUAGGGUAGAAGAAAGAAAAACAUUAGAAAAGUACCACUGAAGGUAAUUUCUCUACUGUGGUAAACUUUGUAUCAAUUAUGGGCUCUGCCCAUUAAGGGGAGGAAAGCAUAUGUUAACUUUUAUUCAAUUAUUUGGAAAUUUAGGUGGGUAAAAACAUGAAGCUAAUAGUUAAGAACAUCUGUUAAAAGAAUAACUUCAAGGACAUUUCUUCAAUUUACCCAUCUCUUAUUACCAUGUGGAUUAAUUAUGGAAAUAUUUUGCUUAUAUAGUCAUAGAAAGUUAUUCUACUUUAAAAAAUUUACUGCCAACAGCAUGUCAAUUCAGUGAUCUUUAUGGGAUAGGCUGUCAUGAAACAUCAAAACUUUCAACUACUAUUAAAAAUUAUAUGAAGAAAAUACAAUUCUCAGCAUAUUUUACAUUUUAAAACUUUACAGUUAUAUACUUAAGGGCAUGUUUACGACAGCUCAUGAGAGAGAUGGCUUUUUUUAAUACUUAAGGUUAACUGUAAAUUUCUCCAAAAUCUUUAGGAGCACUGAAUCUCUGUGUUGUCAAAAUGAGCAACCAAAUAAAAUUGAUCCCAGCCAACUUUACCAUAUAUAUAAUUAAAAUAUGAUAAUUUUGUGAUGAAUACAUACUGCUCUUCCCACAUUUAAGAUCAAAGUUUACAAAGACAGAACAGAUUUCAACCAGGGCAUCAGAACUACAUGGAAGAUUAAAAACUAUCCUGUAGCAAAAUCUACAGAUGCUCAAAUUCAUAUUAGUGAAUGUGUUUUCUCUGAAAUGCACAUCUUAGAAUAUGAAAUCAAAUCAAAGUAUACCUUUAUAUUUAAAUAAAAACUGGUUUAUCUUUUA